GUCUCAGGCCGUAUCAGCCUGAAGGCGCCCGAUCUCGUCUGAUCUCGGAAGCUAAGCAGGGUCGGGCCUGGUUAGUAUCUUGGAUGGGAGACCACCUGGGAAUCCCGGGUGCUCGAGCUC
RNAcentral lists this ribosomal RNA (120 nucleotides) under Bison bison bison. The record is from RNAcentral. Lineage: Eukaryota; Metazoa; Chordata; Mammalia; Artiodactyla; Bovidae.